RNAcentral lists this ribosomal RNA (402 nucleotides) under uncultured bacterium. Its description in RNAcentral is "bacterial SSU rRNA". It matches the Rfam family "Bacterial small subunit ribosomal RNA", at positions 355 to 774 of the family's 1533-position model. The record is from RNAcentral.
UUAGGAAUAUUGGACAAUGGGGGAAACCCUGAUCCAGCCAUGCCGCGUGUGUGAUGAAGGCCUUAGGGUUGUAAAGCACUUUCGUUGGGGAUGAUAAUGACCGUACCCAAAGAAGAAGCCACGGCUAAAUUCGUGCCAGCAGCCGCGGUAAUACGAAUGUGGCAAGCGUUGUUCGGAAUCACUGGGCGUAAAGAAUGCGUAGGCGGCUUGACAAGUCGAGAGUGAAAUCCCAGGGCUUAACCCUGGAACUGCUUUCGAAACUGUUUUGCUAGAGUCCCGGAGGGGUUGGCGGAAUUCCGAGUGUAGAGGUGAAAUUCGCAGAUAUUCGGAGGAACACCAGUGGCGUAGGCGGCCAACUGGACGGGAACUGACGCUGAGGCAUGAAAGUGUGGGGAUCAAACA